This 222-nucleotide ribosomal RNA is filed under the name Salmonella enterica. RNAcentral's name for it is "partial 16S ribosomal RNA". It matches the Rfam family "Bacterial small subunit ribosomal RNA", at positions 1 to 219 of the family's 1533-position model. The record is from RNAcentral. RNAcentral also lists the same sequence under 2 other names. Lineage: Bacteria; Pseudomonadati; Pseudomonadota; Gammaproteobacteria; Enterobacterales; Enterobacteriaceae.
AAAUUGAAGAGUUUGAUCAUGGCUCAGAUUGAACGCUGGCGGCAGGCCUAACACAUGCAAGUCGAACGGUAACAGGAAGCAGCUUGCUGCUUUGCUGACGAGUGGCGGACGGGUGAGUAAUGUCUGGGAAACUGCCUGAUGGAGGGGGAUAACUACUGGAAACGGUGGCUAAUACCGCAUAAUGUCGCAAGACCAAAGAGGGGGACCUUCGGGCCUCUUGCC